UACAGAGGUCUCAAGCGUUGUUCGGAUUCAUUGGGCGUAAAGGGUGCGUAGGUGGCGCUGUAAGUCAGGUGUGAAAUUUCGGAGCUUAACUCCGAAACUGCAUUCGAUACUGGCGUGCUUGAGGACUGGAGAGGAGACUGGAAUUCAUGGUGUAGCAGUGAAAUGCGUAGAGAUCAUGAGGAAGACCAGUGGCGAAGGCGGGUCUCUGGACAGUUCCUGACACUGAGACACGAAGGCCAGGGGAGCAAACGGG
Molecule: ribosomal RNA, 253 nt
Filed under: uncultured bacterium
Lineage: Bacteria
Description: partial 16S ribosomal RNA
Rfam family: Bacterial small subunit ribosomal RNA
Source: RNAcentral